Molecule: ribosomal RNA, 520 nt
Filed under: uncultured Glomeromycotina
Lineage: Eukaryota; Fungi; Glomeromycota
Description: SSU rRNA
Rfam family: Eukaryotic small subunit ribosomal RNA
Source: RNAcentral
AGCAGCCGCGGUAAUUCCAGCUCCAAUAGCGUAUAUUAAAGUUGUUGCAGUUAAAAAGCUCGUAGUUGAAUUUCGGGAUCAUCAGGUUGGUCGUGCCUCUGGUAUGUACUGAUUUCGAUGGUUCCUCCUUCUUGAAGAUCCGUAAUGCCAUUAAUUUGGUGUUGCGGGGAAUCAGGACUGUUACUUUAGAAAAAAUUAGAGUGUUUAAAGCAGGCAACCGCUUGAAUACAUUAGCAUGGAAUAAUGAAAUAGGACGUUCGAUCCUAUUUUGUUGGUUUCUAGGAUUGACGUAAUGAUUAAUAGGGAUAGGUUGGGGGCAUUAGUAUUCAAUUGUCAGAGGUGAAAUUCUUGGAUUUUAUUGAAAGACUAACUACUGACGAAAGCAUUUGCCAAGGAUGUUUUCAUUAAUACAAGAACGAAAGUUAGGGGAUCGAAGACGAUCAGAUACCGUCGUAGUCUUAACCAUAAACUAUGCCGACUAGGGAUCGGAUGAUGUUAAUUUUAAUGACUCAUUCGGCGC